GAUUAACGCUGGCGGCGUGCAUAACACAUGCAAGUCGAACGAUGAAACUUAAAUGAUUUCUUCGGAAUGAACUUAAGUGGAUUAGUGGCGGACGGGUGAGUAACGCGUGAGUAACCUGCCUUACACAAGGGGAUAGCCGUUGGAAACGACGAAUAAUACCCUAUGAAACUAUCACUUCGCAUGAAGCGAUAGUCAAAGUGUUAGCGGUGUAAGAUGGACUUGCGUCUGAUUAGCUAGUUGGUGAGAAAAAAGCCCACCAAGGCAACGAUCAGUAGCCGGCUUGAGAGAGUGUACGGCCACAUUGAGACUGAGACACGGCCCAGACUCCUACGGGAGGCAGCAGUGGGGAAUUUUGCACAAUGGGGGAAACCCUGAUGCAUCGACGCCGCGUGAUUUAGAAGGCCUUCGGGUUGUAAAAAUCUUUUGUAUAGGAAGAAAAUGACAGUACUAUACGAAUAAGGUCCGGCUAAUUACGUG
Molecule: ribosomal RNA, 477 nt
Filed under: uncultured bacterium
Lineage: Bacteria
Description: partial 16S ribosomal RNA
Rfam family: Bacterial small subunit ribosomal RNA
Source: RNAcentral